Uranotaenia lowii is the source of this 1398-nucleotide long non-coding RNA. RefSeq lists it as uncharacterized. The transcript is spliced from 3 exons. NCBI's taxonomy places the organism in Eukaryota, Metazoa, Arthropoda, Insecta, Diptera, Culicidae. The record is from RefSeq and is a predicted model, not a curated record.
GCAAAAAACAGUGCGAAAAACAAACACAACACGUUAAAAGUAAAGCUAAAUUAUGUUAAAUUUGCUUUGUUAGUACGAAAGUGACAAAGGCAUAAACAACUGUUAAAACGACAUUAAAACGAAGCACAUUGUAAAACUGCAGAUAAAAGGUCCACAAGGGCCUUUUUCUGUUUGGCUGGUUCUUACGAACCACACCAUAAUUAUCCCCAGGCAACCAACAGUUCCGGACAGAAAACACCGUUCGAGACCGGAGUCGAGCAAGCACUUGGUAUCGACUCGAACAUAACCUCGUCUUGGACCGGUCAGCAUCAAAACAACAUCUUUUAGCCCGACGCUGGUGUCGAAAGGUCAACAAACAACAAUCAUACCAGCAUGCUUUAUUUCCGGCCGUUCCCAACUAUGCUAGAACCGGCAAGUAUUGGGGCGGCAUUUUGCAUGUCAGUCGUCUCCAGCCAGGUGCCUCCGUUACUGGUUGAGACGGUGAAUAAUAAGCCGACAGAGGAAUCGCAGCCGCGCGGCGAUUAACCAACGCCGAGGAAGAACCAAAGCCGCAAGUAUUAAUAGUGUGUGACGUCAUGCCAGGGCCCAUCCGUAAAAUAAACUUAAGCAUUAUUGUAAUCGCAUCCAAAAAUUGUGUAACUGUAGAAAUCCGUAAUCGCUUUACACUUCCGGGAAUCGUUAAAGUUUCGAACCAAAAUGGUUAUCAAAUCUCUCUCUAGGGUGGUCCGCUCAGUGAUUCACAGUUUGCGUUGUUUAUCAUAUUUUGAAUUUCCGACUCUGGUUGAUAGCAUGAGAGGUACCCACCCGUUUCGGCACCUCUGAAAAACAUGUUAGCUGUAAUUGGAAUCCCUUGCGUGAGGUUACUCCAGAAGACGGUGUAACGUAGUGAAUUUCCCUGUAACGACCCUGAGUCCCACCAUAAUCUCUCCUUCCCAUGUUCCCACCCACUGAGUGUAGCUGUCCGCGAGUUACAACCCCUAUGGUGGAGCUCCAGGCCGCUCAUCCGUAUCGUAGUUCCGACAGUGCUACGCUCGCAAGGAGAUGUCUCUAGUUACUCUUUGGACCAUGGCAGUUCGGCAUGAUCCGGGACAAUGAAUCGCUUCAGCUGCUGUUUCGACGAUGUCGUGUGUCCUCCAACAGUAAUCUCCAUGUCCGCACAAUUUUGCCGCCAACCGUGGCCUAGAGGAUAGCGUUUAAGUCUUCUAAGCCAGAGGGCAUGAGAUCGAGUCUCGGUCACGGCAAACAUAGUACUAUUUCUGUGGGUCGGUAGUAUUUGUAAGCAGGCCUCGGCAUCGUCGAAAUAAAAAAUUGAAAGUAAAAUUUCCUGUCAUUCGCCUCAUCUCACCGUUAGUCGAUUUCGAGCACAUCAUUCUCAUCUGUCAGAUCGAAGCAAACACU